Molecule: ribosomal RNA, 230 nt
Filed under: uncultured bacterium
Lineage: Bacteria
Description: partial 16S ribosomal RNA
Rfam family: Bacterial small subunit ribosomal RNA
Source: RNAcentral
AAAGCGCGCGUAAGUGGUUUGUUAAGUUGGAUGUGAAAGCCCCGGGCUCAACCUGGGAACUGCAUCCAAAACUGGCAAGCUAGAGUAUGGUAGAGGGUGGUGGAAUUUCCUGUGUAGCGGUGAAAUGCGUAGAUAUAGGAAGGAACACCAGUGGCGAAGGCGACCACCUGGACUGAUACUGACACUGAGGUGCGAAAGCGUGGGGAGCAAACAGGAUUAGAUACCCUUGU